Molecule: ribosomal RNA, 320 nt
Filed under: uncultured Glomeromycotina
Lineage: Eukaryota; Fungi; Glomeromycota
Description: LSU rRNA
Source: RNAcentral
UUGAAAGGGAAACGAUUGAAGUCAGUCGUACCUGUGGGUAAUCAGCCUUUUGGGUGUGAUUAUGUGGAGUGUGAAGAGUUAAACGCCUUUAUGCCUGCAUAUUCGUGCACUUUGGGUGUAUUUACCCGUGUGGUAAGUUAACAUCAAUUUUGGUCGUCAUAGAAUGGCUGGAGGAAUGUAGCUUCGAUCUCGUAUUGAAGUGUUAUAGCCUUCGGUAGAUGUGGUGAUCGGGAUUGAGGAUUGCAACGAUACCCUUCGGGGCUAACCCGUUAGAUCAAAUUGAUGGUCGAUGGGUUAAAUUCGUUAAGGAUGUUGACGUA